GAAAUAAAAACAUAAAGACUAAAGUCUACAAAAAAUGCAGUGCAAUAUUAACAGUUUUAUCAAAUUGAAACAGACUGAAGUUAGUUAUUAUGUGCAAAGUGCAUUAGUUAGGAGAUACUUCCUUUUUAACUUUUAGAAUUAUAUGCAAAAAUGAAUGAAAUCUUACAACUGAAAGUUACUUCCCUUUAUGUUUAUGCUCAUUUAUUUAUUGUACUGAUCAUGUACUAAAACACAGAAACACAAAAACCACACAAAUGAGAAUUUAAAAAAAAAUCAUAUCAGACUCCAUGAAAUUAGUGUUUGUCUGGAGUAGAAAUCAAACGGUAUACUAAAAACCAAAAUAAAUUCAAACAAACUUCAAACGGACCGAAAAUAUAUGUUUUGAUAAGAUUAGAACCACAACAAAAAAGGCAUUUGACGGAGAGUUGAGUUUUAGAAUAACUUAAGAGUAUACUAAUGACUAGAGAUGGCUGUUUGUGAGUGACAACAUGUUGGUUUUUAAAAUAAAGUUUUUCAGAUAAGUUUUUUUUUUAGUUCAUGAAAUAACAUUUGGAUCAAUCAAGAACUUAUUAAUUAUAUAGAUGUACUGUUCCUAGGAUCAAUGAUCAAAAGUUUUAACAAAUGGAACUAUAGAUGCUACAGGAAAGCUAUGUUUAAAACGAAUUUGUUGAUAUUCGUUGUUGUUCUCGUUGCUAUAUGUAAUUGGGGGAAACCUUUUUUCACGUACCAUAAGUGAUAUAUCACGUGACACAUACGCAUUUUGUACGCUUCAUAUUGCACGCUGCUAUUUUACAUAUAGAUUUGCAUUGUUAGGCACUUUAAAUUGAUGUUUAAUGAGGAAUGCACUUCGAUGGAAUUAUUUUCAUUAGUUUUGAGGUAGCUAUUUUCAAAGGUUCAUCACUGCCAUAAACGGGAAUAUAUCCACAUAAAGGUCAAGGUUACUGCUAGCAUGUGCAUAGAUACGUGCAGACUGCUUCCAUUGUUCACACAGGUAUUCAAUGUUGUGGCUG
RNAcentral lists this long non-coding RNA (1010 nucleotides) under Mytilus galloprovincialis (Mediterranean mussel). The record is from RNAcentral. Lineage: Eukaryota; Metazoa; Mollusca; Bivalvia; Mytilida; Mytilidae.